Molecule: long non-coding RNA, 1762 nt
Filed under: Pogona vitticeps (central bearded dragon)
Lineage: Eukaryota; Metazoa; Chordata; Lepidosauria; Squamata; Agamidae
Description: lncRNA (ENSPVIG00000016497.1)
Source: RNAcentral
AGAGUGGAUGCUGUGAUGUUGGGGGAGUUAUUUUGAAAUUUUUUAAUUACAGUUGUUUGCAUACAACUGCAAUUUUGCUUUCUCAAAUCUGCUACCUUCUGAAAGCUUGAAGUCUCUGUUUGUGCCUUUUAGCCAUGCUGGCAAUACAAAUGGACAAUUAUGGGAUGAGAAUUGUGGUUUUCUGCUGCCGCAGCCACCCCUCAAGAUAGGACUAGUUUUUGAUGGAAUGUGUUUGAUUUUUAAUUGUAUUUCCCAGGGGACACUAUGGCAGCACACCAAUGCUCUGUGAAGCCCAGAUUUAUGCGUAACCCUUUACAGUAUGCAGAACCUGUCGCUUUAAGAUACAGACGUUAAACAGCAAUUGUAACACCUUCCCCUUUGUGAAUGAAUUUGAUUUCCUUAGAGGUCUGGCUAGAAUGAGUUUGGAGAAUUCUUCUGGUUUGUAUAUUUAGUCCAAGGUGUUUUGUUGCUGUUGGCUGUUUGCUUUAUGUAUUUAGACAGUGGCUUUUUAAUUUUUUUCUUUUAAAUUGUCCAGUAAAGGCAAAUUUUUCUUUUUCCACAGUGCUAUCUGUUUUCCAACAUUCCAAAAAAAGAACUGCCACUUGGACCACCGAUCAGUUUUUCCAUCUUUCUUCAGAACUAUACAUGAUGAAGAAACCUUCAUACAUCUUAACUUCCACAGAAAGGAACAUCAAUGACACCAUUUGUUACCUUUGCUUUACUACCGGGCUGGUAAAAGUCAAGAUCAAUCGACUCCUUUAAUAUAUCUACCAUGCAGAGAUGCUGCAGCCAACAUGCAAGAAGAGAUACUGUUGGAAUUACAUCACUCUCUGGCCUCUUUGUGAAAUGGGAACUGUAAAAAAUGAGGGCUAAACCUCCCAGCUUCUCCCGCCCUUUUCCAAGAUGUUGAAAGAGAUAAGGAAGUUAGUAAUUCGAUAUUAUGAAUCUGAGUACAUAACACAGAAACAUAUUUCAAGUUACAGGUAAAGAAAGAAUUCACAUUUCUAAUUUUUGUAAAGGUCAAUCAUGGCCAGUGAUAUUGUACAAUAGUCUCUCUCUCUCUCUCUCUCUCUCUCUCUCACACACACACACACACACACACACACACACACACACACACACAGAGAGAGAGAGUGUGGCAACUGAAAAGGAUGAGCCUUUACUAUAAGGGCCACUAGGUGGCAGUGGGGGCAUUGUGGCAUUCAUCUUCUCCACCUAGACUGCUGGUGGAGGAGUGACAAGCUUAGUUUUUACAGGCCUGAGACAAACACCUGCAGAGUGCUUUCGAAAUUAAACCGCGGGCUGGGUGAUAUCAGACCAAGAGCUCAGGUUGCCCCCGUGUGACUUUUGGCUUCCAACACUACCAGCCCUUAACUCUCCACUAUUUCUUGAUCAUACUGCUGCUCUGAAAACAAUGAUUUAUGCAUCAAGCAAAUCCUCAUAUGAGUAAGACAGGACCUUGCAGGAAAGGGAUAAAUGAAGGCAGGAAUUGGUGUCUGAAUGGUACAGCAUGAUCUCUUGUAAGUACAGUAUUAGACUGAACAGGGUGUGAGAUAGGGAGGCACCACAUAAGUCUUCACUGUAUGUUAGAGGCUAAUACAUCAUUCUUGUUGAAAUCGUAUUAGAGUUUUGAAGGUUUGAUUCCAACAGGCCUCUGGGUCUGAGCAAUUAGACAUAGAGUGCAUCUACAAAUAAUAUAGAUUUCCUCCACUGAAACAGGCAAAUUUGAAGUAUUUUUUUUACUGACUGCAUAAUACAAAGG